Paramuricea clavata is the source of this 69-nucleotide non-coding RNA. Lineage: Eukaryota; Metazoa; Cnidaria; Anthozoa; Malacalcyonacea; Plexauridae. The record is from the annotation of a GenBank genome assembly.
GCCUCUAAAGCUCAGUUGCAUGGUUAGAGCGCUGCACCGGAAUCGCAGGUUCAAUUCCUGCCAGGGACG